Molecule: ribosomal RNA, 440 nt
Filed under: uncultured bacterium
Lineage: Bacteria
Description: partial 16S ribosomal RNA
Rfam family: Bacterial small subunit ribosomal RNA
Source: RNAcentral
CCUACGGGCGGCAGCAGUAGGGAAUAUUGCUCAAUGGGGGAAACCCUGAAGCAGCAACGCCGCGUGGGGGAUGAAGGUUUUCGGAUUGUAAACUCCUUUUGUUAGAGAAGAUAAUGACGGUAUCUAACGAAUAAGGACCGGCUAACUCCGUGCCAGCAGCCGCGGUAAUACGGAGGGUGCAAGCGUUACUCGGAAUCACUGGGCGUAAAGAGCGCGUAGGCGGGUUAGCAAGUCAGAUGUGAAAUCCUAUGGCUUAACCAUAGAACUGCAUUUGAAACUGUUAUUCUAGAGUAUGGGAGAGGUAGGUGGAAUUCUUGGUGUAGGGGUAAAAUCCGUAGAGAUCAAGAGGAAUACUCAUUGCGAAGGCGACCUGCUGGAACAUAACUGACGCUGAUGCGCGAAAGCGUGGGGAGCAAACAGGAUUAGAUACCCCUGUAGUC